This 55-nucleotide small RNA is filed under the name Caenorhabditis elegans. RNAcentral's name for it is "Unclassified non-coding RNA K04B12.8". Lineage: Eukaryota; Metazoa; Nematoda; Chromadorea; Rhabditida; Rhabditidae. The record is from RNAcentral.
AGAGAUUGGUGUGGUCGAUAUGAAUGAAUGCAAAUACCGAUAUGUUAGGAGGAGA